Molecule: long non-coding RNA, 485 nt
Filed under: Malus domestica (apple)
Lineage: Eukaryota; Viridiplantae; Streptophyta; Magnoliopsida; Rosales; Rosaceae
Description: long non-coding RNA (MDOM_LNC003281)
Source: RNAcentral
UGUAUUGGUGCAUGCUAACUCGGAGGUUGCUGCUAUUUUAUAUUUAAUUUGUCUCUGUCGACCAAUCUUUGAGAAAAUUCAAUGGCAUGCCACAUCAAGAAAAAAAUAUUCCUACCCAAAAAUUUGGAAUAAUAUGAAGAGGAUUUCAUCUUCAUACGCAAUGCAAGCAUCCAGACUCACACAGUGCGUGUAUUGGUGCAUGCUCACUCGGAGGUUGCUGCUAUUUUAUAUUUAAUUUGUCUCUGUCGACCAAUCUUUGAGAAAAUUCAAUGGCAUGCCACAUCAAGAAAAAAAAUUCCUACCCAAAAAUUUGGAAUAAUAUGAAGAGGAUUUUCAUCUUCAUACGCAAUGCAAGCAUCCAGACCCACACUAGUUCUUGUGUGAUUCUUUAGUUUUCGGAAAUUUAGAAUUUUCAAAAUCUCUAUGUAUUUUAAUUUUCACUUAAUCUUUUAGAAAAGAGAACUAAUUUCACACUCCCAUUUUAG